GGGGUUCAUGUUGUCGACCUUCACGUGGUGAGCCCUGUCAACUGACUGCUGUCAGGCUAACAGACAA
Molecule: non-coding RNA, 67 nt
Filed under: Strongylocentrotus purpuratus (purple sea urchin)
Lineage: Eukaryota; Metazoa; Echinodermata; Echinoidea; Camarodonta; Strongylocentrotidae
Source: RNAcentral